This 238-nucleotide ribosomal RNA is filed under the name uncultured bacterium. Its description in RNAcentral is "partial 16S ribosomal RNA". It matches the Rfam family "Bacterial small subunit ribosomal RNA", at positions 102 to 334 of the family's 1533-position model. The record is from RNAcentral.
CGACGGGUGAGUAACACGUAUGCAAUCCACCUGUAACAGGGGGAUAACCCGGAGAAAUCCGGACUAAUACCCCAUAAUAUGGGCGCUCCGCAUGGAGAGUCCAUUAAAGAGAGCAAUCUUGGUUACAGACGAGCAUGCGCUCCAUUAGCCAGUUGGCGGGGUAACGGCCCACCAAGGCGACGAUGGAUAGGGGUUCUGAGAGGAAGGUCCCCCACAUUGGAACUGAGACACGGCCCAA